This is a long non-coding RNA of Dama dama (fallow deer), 428 nucleotides long. RefSeq lists it as uncharacterized. The record is from RefSeq and is a predicted model, not a curated record. NCBI's taxonomy places the organism in Eukaryota, Metazoa, Chordata, Mammalia, Artiodactyla, Cervidae. The transcript is spliced from 4 exons.
CCGAGAGGGGGCUCCAGCGGGGGCAGAGGCGGCGGGACGCGCGGCCCCGCUGCUGGCCUGGCUGCGCUCCCAGACCCGCCCCUUCCAUUUGCCCGCCAGGGGCAUGGCGAGCGCCCACUGACAACCCAGCCCUGGCUACAUUCUUAGAUGCCCAACAUCAGUAGCACCUGGCACCAGGUACCUGCUUGGCUUGGCUACCCUGGAGCUUCUGGAAAGGGGAUCUUCCCAACCCAGGGAUUGAACCCGGCUCUCCCGCAUUGCAGGCGGAUUCUUUACCAUCUGAGCCAGGUGAAUGGGUGUUAUCUUCAACUUGAGCACUUUACCGUAAGGAAACAGGCCGGGAGAAGUGGCUGACUAGGAGUCAGAGCUGGGAUUUGAACCCAGGAAUAUCACAGCACAAUCUGCUGUGUGAUAGGCCCCUUCCUAUC